Non-coding RNA from Phyllostomus discolor (pale spear-nosed bat), 79 nucleotides. The record is from the annotation of a RefSeq genome assembly. Lineage: Eukaryota; Metazoa; Chordata; Mammalia; Chiroptera; Phyllostomidae.
GCCCUGACCAGCAUGGCUCAGUUGGUUGAGCAUCAGCCUGCAAAGCAUAUGGUCACAGGUUCAAAUCCUGGUCAGGGCA